RNAcentral lists this ribosomal RNA (253 nucleotides) under uncultured bacterium. Its description in RNAcentral is "partial 16S ribosomal RNA". It matches the Rfam family "Bacterial small subunit ribosomal RNA", at positions 524 to 776 of the family's 1533-position model. The record is from RNAcentral.
UACAGAGGUCUCAAGCGUUGUUCGGAUUCAUUGGGCGUAAAGGGUGCGUAGGCGGCGCGGUAAGUCGGGUGUGAAAUCUCGGAGCUUAACUCCGAAACUGCAUUCGAUACUGCCUCGCUUGAGUCCGGGAGGGGAGAGCGGAACUCCUAGUGUAGCGGUGAAAUGCGCAGAUAUUAGGAAGAACACCAGCGGCGAAGGCAGCACUCUGGGCUGGUACUGACGCUCAGGAGCGAAAGCGUGGGUAGCGAACAGG